UGCUUUGUGAAGUGGAAGUAUCAUGAGGUUUAUCCGAGGCAUGAUUAUUGCUAAUUGAAAACUUUCCAAAUGGCUGUUCACCUGAAUGUAAAAACUUUGGGCCAGAAUGAAAA
Molecule: small nuclear RNA, 113 nt
Filed under: Cricetulus griseus (Chinese hamster)
Lineage: Eukaryota; Metazoa; Chordata; Mammalia; Rodentia; Cricetidae
Description: U4 spliceosomal RNA
Source: Rfam by way of RNAcentral